GAACUGGCAAGGCAUGGGCUCGCCUUGACUAGUUUAGCCCUGUCCGACAAUACUAAACGGUCUUACGAUAGGGCCUUCAAACUAUACAAGAGGUUUAUGAUAGAACACAACUUGGUGCAGUUUUUUGCCAUUUCCACACGGGCAGCUUUUGUUUCGUUUUGUCAUCUCAAACUCAAACUGUCACACAACACCAUCAAAUUAUAUUUAACCGGCAUACAACACCUUAUACCCAGAUAACUCUAGUUUCUUAUCGUCUUACCCCAUUAAAAACAUUCUUAAAGGCGUACAGAAAUCCAGUAUCACCCCUCC
Pelobates cultripes (western spadefoot toad) is the source of this 309-nucleotide non-coding RNA. NCBI's taxonomy places the organism in Eukaryota, Metazoa, Chordata, Amphibia, Anura, Pelobatidae. The record is from the annotation of a GenBank genome assembly.